Long non-coding RNA from Hermetia illucens (black soldier fly), 1775 nucleotides. RefSeq lists it as uncharacterized. The transcript has 2 exons. The record is from RefSeq and is a predicted model, not a curated record. Lineage: Eukaryota; Metazoa; Arthropoda; Insecta; Diptera; Stratiomyidae.
AUAAUAAAUAUAUUCCAAAAAUGACUGUCUUUUCAGUGAUAAAUCGACUGUCCAUCAUUUUCUGAAAAAUUCACUUUUUUUUUAAUCCUUCGACGAUAUGAUCGUUCAAAAAAGUUUCGUAGUCUCCUAAAAAAAUCCGUGAAAAUGACCCAUUUUUGGCGCUUCAAGUGAUAUUAACCCCUCAAAAACAGUUUAUCCAUCGAAGGACAAGAAUAAUUGGCUGCCAGACAAACUUUUCUCCACUUACUGUAUUGACCAAUAUUGUCAAUGUUAUUUUUAAUAAUAAAUGUUUAACGUCAUCGAAUAAAAUUGUAGCAAUAUCUAAAAUCUUAGGAACAAUUUCUUCUGAAAUACAAGUAAAUGUCUGGCACGGUGUUAUAGCAAAUCGAUAAAGCUAUCACUGUCAACUGGCAAUAUCUAUUUACGCUUUCUAAUGUGGUUUUAAAUUCAUUCUGCAACUUUUGUUUUAUGAUUUUAGUUGAGUCAAAACACUUUGGCAAAAAGCUCCACGAGAUCAGAUCUAACGAAUAAGAAGGCUAUUAUAGUAUUUGGUAUGCUUUUGGCUUUGAAUUCGAUCAAAACUAUCGUCCUAUGGUGGGAUGCGUUAUCAUCAGCAUCAGCUAAAAUUCAUGAAUCAUUUCAAAAAUCUGAUUAUUUCUAAAAGAUUUUCUUACACAAAAGAAUAAAUAUUGCCAAAUAUUUUCCCUCAAAAUAAUGAGCCUCAUCUUGAAUAUUAAGCUGUUUUAAUUUGUUUUGUUUCAAUCAUUCAUUUCUUUUGACCGUUGUAAAAAUUAUGUUGAUUUAGCGGAGUGGAAUGAUUCAAGCACUAGUCUAAGGGGUUAUAUACAGUUGAGAUGGUCAGGAAAAUUGAAAAAAAAAUACUGCAUAUUUUUGCAUUGCAUUUUUUAUAAAACUUUGUUCAACGAUUUUUUGAAUUUCGUUUAGAAUCAUGAGUAUGUAAAUUACGACACUAUCAUUCUUUCUUAAAAAAUAGAAUCAUAUAGAAAGGCGAUAGAUGAGGAUCCCCCUCACAUCUGCGAGACGGGUGCAAUGUUUGACGCAGCCUUCAGCGCGAUGGACCAAGUUAUACAAGAGCCUGGCGCAUUUUUAGCCAAUUAAAAAAAAUGGAAAAUAAUAACCCCUUAAGAAGAAUAAUAUCAAAAUAGGUAGUUUGAAAAAGUGAAGGGUGUAAUGCCGUAUCCAAAUGAUUUGAACAGCAACUUCCUGCUCAUGUGCUUGUAUUGGCAAAAAAUCAUCUUCUCGGACGAGGUCCGGUUUUGGCUUAGCGUAAACAAGCCAAAUUCUAGGAGCGAUCACAAUCCAAAAGUGUUCGACCAAGCAUUAAAACACAAACAUUGACACUUGGAUGCGUUUUAUGGCAUGGUCAUAUCGCCGGACCCUAUUUCUUUCGAAAUGAGGAAGGAAACAGCGUUAUCGUCAAUAAUCCUCGGUAUAAAGCGAAGUAGAUCAACUCUGUGACCAGAAAUAUCCAAGCUGUAGUUCCAAUAAGGCGGCGUUACAUGCCAUACAACCAGCGCAAUGCUCGAAGUGGUAAAGGAAAAAUUUGGCGACUGGGUUAUCACGCGGGUUACGUCAACUCCUCAGUCUACGCUAAUGAGACCAUCACUUUGUAUGACCUCGACGCCAAUAUUUGAUAAGCUAUUGCUCGAAUAAAGCCAUUGAAACAUUGUCAGCGAGGCGGGCAUUUAUAUAAUGUGUUAUUCUAUACUUAAUGAAAUGAAUGUAUCUUAAAUAAAAAACCAGAAUCAAUUUGA